AAACCCCUCUCAGAGUAACAAUUGGAGGGCAAGUCUGGUGCCAGCAGCCGCGGUAAUUCCAGCUCCAAUAGCGUAUAUUAAAGUUGUUGCAGUUAAAAAGCUCGUAGUUGGAUGUCUGUUGGAAGCAAUCAUCAGUCCGCCCUAUUUGAUUAGGGUGUGAAUAUGAUGAAUUCCGGCAUAAUUGUCUCCCUAUUAUCAAUAUAUAAGAUGAUCAUUAUUAGAUUCAUUUCUAAUAAUGCGUCUACUAUAUUAUUGGUAGUAUGGGAGAAAUGUUACUUUGAGAAAAUUAGAGUGUUUGAAGCAGGCUUUUGUUGCCUUGAAUACUGCAGCAUGGAAUAACAAUAUAGGAUUUCGGUUCUAUUUUGUUGGUUUUUUUUAGGACUGAAAUAAUGAUUAAUAGGGACAGUUGGGGGCAUU
Molecule: ribosomal RNA, 417 nt
Filed under: Sarcocystis suihominis
Lineage: Eukaryota; Apicomplexa; Conoidasida; Eucoccidiorida; Sarcocystidae
Description: SSU rRNA
Rfam family: Eukaryotic small subunit ribosomal RNA
Source: RNAcentral